GAUGAACGCUAGCUACAGGCUUAACACAUGCAAGUCGAGGGGCAGCACUAGGUAGCAAUACUGAGGUGGCGACCGGCGCACGGGUGCGUAACGCGUAUCCAACCUUCCCGAUACUCUUGGAUAGCCUUCCGAAAGGGAGAUUAAUACAAGAUGGUGUUUCACUUUCGCAUGUUAUUGAAACUAAGAUUUAUCGGUAUCGGAUGGGGAUGCGUGACAUUAGAUAGUAGGCGGGGUAACGGCCCACCUAGUCUACGAUGUCUAGGGGUUCUGAGAGGAAGGUCCCCCACACUGGAACUGAGACACGGUCCAGACUCCUACGGGAGGCAGCAGUGAGGAAUAUUGGUCAAUGGUCGGAAGACUGAACCAGCCAAGUAGCGUGAAGGAUGAAGGUUCUAUGGAUUGUAAACUUCUUUUAUACGGGAAUAAAACCUCCCACGUGUGGGAGCUUGUAUGUACCGUAUGAAUAAGCAUCGGCUAACUCCGUG
This 485-nucleotide ribosomal RNA is filed under the name uncultured bacterium. Its description in RNAcentral is "bacterial SSU rRNA". It matches the Rfam family "Bacterial small subunit ribosomal RNA", at positions 28 to 507 of the family's 1533-position model. The record is from RNAcentral.